UAGUUAUUAAUUUAAAAAAAAUAUUAAUUUUGUAAAUUAAAUAUAUAUGUAUAUAUAAUAUAUAACUAA
This 69-nucleotide transfer RNA is filed under the name Anisopteromalus calandrae. RNAcentral describes it as "tRNA-Thr". Lineage: Eukaryota; Metazoa; Arthropoda; Insecta; Hymenoptera; Pteromalidae. The record is from RNAcentral.